Molecule: transfer-messenger RNA, 350 nt
Filed under: Spirochaetaceae bacterium
Lineage: Bacteria; Pseudomonadati; Spirochaetota; Spirochaetia; Spirochaetales; Spirochaetaceae
Rfam family: transfer-messenger RNA
About the family: Bacterial tmRNA, also known as 10Sa RNA or SsrA, is named for its dual tRNA and mRNA-like properties.
Source: RNAcentral
GGGGGUGACUAGGCCUCGACUGGGAGGCAUGACGUUUACGGUUGCAGGUGGAGUCCAGCCUCCUUAACCUGGACAAUUUGAUCUGCCGAUACAGAUCUAGCACUGGCUGCCUAAUAUCGUAGCCACGGGGACUUGAAGUGCGGUCCUGAGCGACGAGCAUCCCCGACGCAAUUCAGGACUUACCGCCACGCCGGCCCGCGGGGGUGGCGGGAAAGACACACAGCGGGCUGCACCGCCGCCCGUGAGCCGGAUCACAAAGGCGGCGCCAAGUAUUGCAACAGCCGGCUAAACCUGUAGACGCCGUACGCGCACCUUUCAGGACGCGGGUUCGAUUCCCGCCACCUCCAUCG